Cygnus olor (mute swan) is the source of this 410-nucleotide long non-coding RNA. RefSeq lists it as uncharacterized. The transcript has 3 exons. The record is from RefSeq and is a predicted model, not a curated record. Lineage: Eukaryota; Metazoa; Chordata; Aves; Anseriformes; Anatidae.
GUGGUAUUCUUUUGUUAUACCCUUUUCAGAGCAAAAGUCUUUUCCUGCUAGCAUCAGAGGAAAGAAACAAGUUCUCUUAGCUGUGAGAAGAAAAGCAAUCCAUCUGACCUCACAAAUACUCGUUGUCCUGGACUGAGAUAAAAAUAUCAGUCUCCAUGCUAGAGAAAGACUCCAGGUGACAUUAUAGAAGUCGGAGUGUCAAAGCCAUCUUGCUUACUCUGGAUUUCAAACAACAACUUUGAGACCAUCUAUAUUAGAGAUGAUCUGUUCUGUGGAAAGAGACGAGCUACAGAUGCAAUACGUCUUGAUUUUCAGGUAAAGAGAGGAAGUGUCUCAUGGGUGUUGUAUGUCGUAUCUGGUAAGCUCUAAGCCUGAGAAUGUCCAGCCAUUACUCUUUAGAAAUAAUUCCA